CAAGAGAUUGGGGAGCAGAGAUGCUGACUGAUGGAAGAUAUCAUAGCAUAGCCAAGCACCAACCAUUUUUUUCUGGGGAGGAAAAGGAAGAGACAGGUGCAGCCUAGGUGAAGCCUAUGAGCCUAGGUUCCUAAAUGCAGAGGGCACGGCUUGCUGGUCUACAGGGUCUCAACAUUGUCUCUCCCUGCUCUGCUCUGUACCCUUCAGAAAGGCUGUCACAAAGGAUGGUUCUCCUGUGGCUGGUCGAGACCCCAUCCCGCGGUUGCUUCACUCUGAGAGCCCAGAGUCCUGCUAACUGAGAGACAACAUCUCCCUUGGUCACCAGACUUAAGGGAGGUGACCCAAGUGAUGGAGGAAGUUUGCUGUGAUGGAGAAUUCCUGGGAUGCCAUGGCCACAGUCCAGAGCCCAUGGAUGCCAGAGGGCUCCAGCAUUGAUCCUCCUGUGGGCCCCUGCUCAUAGAAAGGCUGUCUGAACAGAUGGUACCCACGUGCCUCAAAA
Acomys russatus (golden spiny mouse) is the source of this 499-nucleotide long non-coding RNA. RefSeq lists it as uncharacterized. The transcript has 3 exons. The record is from RefSeq and is a predicted model, not a curated record. NCBI's taxonomy places the organism in Eukaryota, Metazoa, Chordata, Mammalia, Rodentia, Muridae.